CAACAUUUGGUCGCGGUCGCCAAC
Molecule: non-coding RNA, 24 nt
Filed under: Arabidopsis thaliana (thale cress)
Lineage: Eukaryota; Viridiplantae; Streptophyta; Magnoliopsida; Brassicales; Brassicaceae
Source: RNAcentral